UUUAUUAAUGAGUUUAAGUCUUCCGCAUUACUUUCUGUUUAUAUUAUAUUGAAAUGUUAAGGUUUAGAUUGGUUGGUUCGCUCACAUAGGAGGGUAAGUGUGGGUGCCAGUCGUGGCCCGGAUUUUGGUCGUGACAAACUUGGUAUCAGAGCAUUAGGUUCGUUGGUCUCAUCACACAAGGACGAGUCUAGUA
This is a non-coding RNA of Solanum lycopersicum (tomato), 193 nucleotides long. NCBI's taxonomy places the organism in Eukaryota, Viridiplantae, Streptophyta, Magnoliopsida, Solanales, Solanaceae. The record is from RefSeq and is a predicted model, not a curated record.